RNAcentral lists this ribosomal RNA (515 nucleotides) under uncultured bacterium. Its description in RNAcentral is "partial 16S ribosomal RNA". It matches the Rfam family "Bacterial small subunit ribosomal RNA", at positions 28 to 523 of the family's 1533-position model. The record is from RNAcentral.
GAUGAACGCUGGCGGCGUGCCUAAUACAUGCAAGUCGAGCGAAUGGAUUAAGAGCUUGCUCUUAUGAAGUUAGCGGCGGACGGGUGAGUAACACGUGGGUAACCUGCCCAUAAGACUGGGAUAACUCCGGGAAACCGGGGCUAAUACCGGAUAACAUUUUGAACCGCAUGGUUCGAAAUUGAAAGGCGGCUUCGGCUGUCACUUAUGGAUGGACCCGCGUCGCAUUAGCUAGUUGGUGAGGUAACGGCUCACCAAGGCAACGAUGCGUAGCCGACCUGGGAGGGUGAUCGGCCAAACUGGGACUGAGACACGGCCCAGACUCCUACGGGAGGCAGCAGUAGGAAAUCUUCCGCAAUGGACGAAAGUCUGACGGAGCAACGCCACGUGAGUGAUGAAGGCUUUCGGGUCGUAAAACUCUGUUGUUAGGGAAGAACGAGUGCUAGUUGAAUAAGCUGGCACCUUGACGGUACCUAACCAGAAAGCCACGGCUAACUACGUGCCAGCCGCCGCGGUAA